Molecule: transfer RNA, 34 nt
Filed under: Opisthocomus hoazin
Lineage: Eukaryota; Metazoa; Chordata; Aves; Opisthocomiformes; Opisthocomidae
Description: partial tRNA-Phe
Source: RNAcentral
GAUACUAAGAUGUUGCCACACGCAUCCGUGGACA